UACAGGGGGUGCAAACGUUGCUCGGAAUUACUGGGCGUAAAGCGCACGUAGGCGGCUUUCUAAGUCGGGGGUGAAAUCCUGGAGCUCAACUCCAGAACUGCCUUCGAUACUGGAGAGCUUGAGUCCGGGAGAGGUGAGUGGAACUGCGAGUGUAGAGGUGAAAUUCGUAGAUAUUGGGAAGAACACCGGUGGCGAAGGCGGCUCACUGGCUCAUUUCUGACGCUCAGGCGCGACAGCGUGGGGAUCAAACAGG
This 253-nucleotide ribosomal RNA is filed under the name uncultured bacterium. RNAcentral describes it as "partial 16S ribosomal RNA". It matches the Rfam family "Bacterial small subunit ribosomal RNA", at positions 524 to 776 of the family's 1533-position model. The record is from RNAcentral.